This 472-nucleotide ribosomal RNA is filed under the name uncultured bacterium. RNAcentral's name for it is "partial 16S ribosomal RNA". It matches the Rfam family "Bacterial small subunit ribosomal RNA", at positions 28 to 507 of the family's 1533-position model. The record is from RNAcentral.
GACGAACGCUGGCGGCGUGCUUAACACAUGCAAGUCGAACGAUGAACCCGGAGCUUGCUCUGGGGGAUUAGUGGCGAACGGGUGAGUAACACGUGAGUAACCUGCCCUGGACUCUGGGAUAAGCGUUGGAAACGACGUCUAAUACCGGAUAGGACCUUGGAUCGCAUGAUCUGGGGUGGAAAGUUUUUUCGGUCUGGGAUGGACUCGCGGCCUAUCAGCUUGUUGGUGAGGUAAUGGCUCACCAAGGCGUCGACGGGUAGCCGGCCUGAGAGGGUGACCGGCCACGCUGGGACUGAGACACGGCCCAGACUCCUACGGGAGGCAGCAGUGGGGAAUAUUGCACAAUGGGCGAAAGCCUGAUGCAGCAACGCCGCGUGCGGGAUGACGGCCGUCGGGUUGUAAACCGCUUUUAGUAGGGAAGAAGGGCUUCGGCUUGACGGUACCUGCAGAAAAAGGACCGGCUAACUACGUG